This 216-nucleotide ribosomal RNA is filed under the name Triticum aestivum (bread wheat). RNAcentral describes it as "partial small subunit ribosomal RNA". The record is from RNAcentral. Lineage: Eukaryota; Viridiplantae; Streptophyta; Magnoliopsida; Poales; Poaceae.
AUGAAUGCCAUGAGCUGGAACUGCCGAGAGCUUGGGAACCCUAGGAUAGUUCGCGAGCUUCGCAAUAUAGUGAAGCAAGAAGGUCCUACCCUGCUUUUCGUCAUGGAGACAAAGAUCAGGGGGAAACAUGUAGAAGAUUUGAAGCAUACUUUAGGUUUUUCUGGUUGUUUUGCCGUCGAUAGUGAUGGUUUAAGUGGAGGUAUCAGUCUGUUUUGA